Molecule: ribosomal RNA, 402 nt
Filed under: uncultured bacterium
Lineage: Bacteria
Description: bacterial SSU rRNA
Rfam family: Bacterial small subunit ribosomal RNA
Source: RNAcentral
AACGAACGCUGGCGGCGUGCCUAACACAUGCAAGUCGUGCGAGAAAGUUCCUUCGGGAGCGAGUAAAGCGGCGCACGGGUGAGUAACACGUAGGUAACCUGCCCCCCAGUCUGGAACAACUAGAGGAAACUCUAGCUAAUGCCGGAUGAGACCACGAUCCCUUCGGGGGGUUGCGGCCAAAGAUGGCCUCUACUUGUAAGCUAUCGCUGAGGGAUGGGCCUGCGGGCCAUUAGCUUGUUGGUGAGGUAACGGCUCACCAAGGCUGUGAUGGCUAGCUGGUCUGAGAGGAUGACCAGCCACACUGGGACUGAGACACGGCCCAGACUCCUACGGAGGCAGCAGUGGGGAAUUUUGGACAAUGGGGGCAACCCUGAUCCAGCAAUGCCGCGUGAGUGAAGAAGG